Molecule: long non-coding RNA, 4081 nt
Organism: Esox lucius (northern pike)
Lineage: Eukaryota; Metazoa; Chordata; Actinopteri; Esociformes; Esocidae
Exons: 3
Source: RefSeq, a predicted model, not a curated record
GUAACGAGCAUGGUUACUUCUCCCUGACAGCUAGCAGGCAUUACUAGAUACGAGACUGACAGAUUGAUAACAGGUAGUUAAAAAUGUAUUCAAACGAACCAGCAAAAAAGAAAUGCAAAGGGGAUCAUAUUACAUAGCCCCCAGGUAGUACAAAUUAAUUUUACAGUAAAGAAGACUACCAUUUCUUACCUCUCAAGUGGCAACCAGACCCGCAACCAAGAGUAGCCACUCUGUUCAGCCGGAAGACAGAGCGUGAAGACGCGCUAGCUAUAGGAGGGACAAUAGGAGACUGGAAGAACAUAUUGACAGUGGCCCAGAGUGAACGUUUUGAACGGUUCCACCAGGAGAGGAUGAAGGACUUACCUCUCAACAUCAUCUGGGACAUCACUGUGCUGCAGGGCUGAUACACACAUAUACACACACAUGUACGCUCAUGCACACCCACACACUUGCACACAAAUAAAGACAUGCACAGUAGACACUGAUUGAAAAUUGGCAAAAAAAGAUAUGUAAUAAUAUUGAUCUGUGCGUUUGGGAUGGUAGGCAAUACGUUUCAGGAGCUCCCUGGCAUAUGCAGAUGGUAUAGUAAUCAACAUUAAUGACAAUUAACGCAAAUCAGAUAUAUAUUGCAGGUAUUCCUACCAUACAGCUGUUUCUUCAGCAUUUUCAACCACAAGCGAAGGGCUUUUGGACCGUGACAAACGCAGUUACUUUGACUAAUUCAAAAGAAAUAGAUGAAAAAAAAUGGCUGAUGUGAGUAUUGAAGGUGCGGUGAAAUAGAAUGUCUAGAUUGUGGCAAUCAUAAGAAAAUAAUGUCCAGUUUUAAUAAAACAUAUUACAUUAAAUAUAUCCAUCCCACAUAAUAUAGGAUUACACAGUCCGUUGAUAUAAAAACAAUUACCUGAAAACAAAACUCAAAUAAAUCUAUGCAAAGGCCAAACUUUAGCAGUAGAAUUAGUGGAAUGUGGGCAAGGUCCUAAGGCUACAUUAAGAAACGUUUUCAUUUCAGUGUGUUGAAAAGAUACCAGCUAAAUGUGUUUAUUACUAGGAUAAAAACAUACCUGGACUGGCCUGGACUGGGCUAUUUAUAGGCCUACAUUAAAUAUGAAAAUUAAUAAAACUUCAGUUAAACCGUUUAUUAAUUACAAUGUAAAGGUCAUAAUCUGCGAUGUACACUUUAGAAGGUCACCUGCUUUCCUACAUUUUCAACAGUAGACUGCAGUGCAUGCCUUCAGGUUCCACAGUUCCACUGAGAAUGUAUUGACACUUAUUAGGGCAAGUCGGUGUAACUUUUACUAAUUUCAGUGUUGAACUUUUGUUGAUAACUUGCGCAAGCACGGGGUUGAAGCCAAGAAGAUUUCCCAGGUGCCCCCGGGAGUAUGUAGUCCCUGGUCAACGCAGAGCAGUCUUUCUGAAGGGUCAUGACUCAUGUAACAGAUGGGUGAUAAAAACCAGGGCUUCAGCCAGAAGGCAAGACAAUGUAACCCACCGACCCAACAUGACCAGGCAUGCCGGUCUGUCCAGUGUUCCAAGAGAAAUAGGGACACCUCUUCCCUGGACUCGGACACAGAGGAUCUCAGCGCGUCCCAAAAAUUUUUUUUCCGUUACUUCCCGUAUGUUUCAAUGAUCAGACACCACACAGUGUUGGACUGGGCCUGUUGAAAUAUCUUGGGACAGUCAUAAAUGAUUUGUGAAUUCUUGAUCUCCUUUUGCAGCCAGGUUCUGCUCGCUCUAUGAUGUAGGCAAGAUGCUGGGACAAGGAGACUUUGGGUCUGUCUAUGAAGGGACACAUAAGCAGGAUGGAAAACAUGUUAUCCUUAUCAUUCCCUACCUUUACUGUCACUUCCUUGUAUUCUGUCUUUCUUUCCUUUAGCCACUCUUCACAGUCUACUCUCUACCACUUUGCUUUCUUUCCUCUUGAUUUUUUCCAUUCUUCUCUGCUCUGUCCCUCUUCCCUCUCAACACUUUCCUAUCUCUUCCCUUGUUCCCCUUGCAUUCCCAUCUCUUCCCUUGUUCCCCUUUCUUUCCUCUCUUCCCUUGUUCCCCUUGCUUUCCUCUCUCUUCCCUUGUUCCCCUUGCUUUCCUAUCUCUUCCCUUGUUCCCCUUGCAUUCAUCUUUCUUCCCUUGAUCCUCUUGCAUUCCCAUCUCUUCCCUUGUUCCCCUUUCUUUCCUCUCUCUUCCCUUGUUCCCCUUGCAUUCCUCUUUCUUCCCUUGUUCCCCUUGCAUUCCCAUCUCUUCCCUUGUUCCCCUUUCUUUCCUCUCUCUUCCCUUGUUCCCCUUGCUUUCCUAUCUCUUCCCUUGUUCCCCUUGCAUUCCUAUCUCUUCCCUUUCUUGUACCUUUCCUCUGUCUUUCCUCCGUUGUCGUCUGUUGUUUUGCACUAUGACACAUUAGCACACUUACGUUAAUUAUUCACAGCAGUGUUCUUCUUUCCCAGGUGGCCCUGAAGUUCAUCCCUAAGGCUCAUGAUGAUGAAUACUUAACAUUAGAAAGUCACAGUAAAUGCUGGUCAACCUAUUGUCGUAUAGAUUGAAAUCUGGCUAUGAGUGUUAGUCUACCUAGCAAAAGCAAGCACAUUCAGACCGAUGCAGUGUGCUAAUCAACAUCUCUUUAGCCUAGAACAUUUUGCGUGUGUGUUGACCAACCCGCCUUAGCCUGGAACAUCAUGACUCGUGUUAACCAACCUCCCCGCUUUAGCCUGAAAUGUCACAGACUUCCCCUGGAGGUAGCUCUGCCUUUGCUAGUGUCCCAGCCCUUGGCUUGUGACCACGUCGUGGCUCUUUUGGAUUGGUUCAACGAGCCCGACUGCAUCAUCCUGGUCAUGGAGCAUCCCGCGCCCGGCACAGACGUGUACCACUACAUGUGCACCGUUGUGGACGGGGCCUUCAGCGAGGACACAGCGAGGGGCAUCAUGCGACAGGCGGUGAUGGCGUGCCGGCACUGCCGAGACCGCGGCGCCCUGCACCGGGACGUCAAAGGGGAGAAUCUGCGGCUGCAAAUGGACACUCUCCAGGUGAAGCUGAUCGACUUUGGCGAACUGCUGAAGGAGGAGCCAUACCACCAGCAUUCUGGUUAGCCGGGCUUUAGAACGACGGCGGUCUACUGACGUUCCGUCACUGUGGUGAAGUAGCACCCAAAACAACACACCCCUCUCUCUCUGUCUCAAGCACCGCUGAGUACUGCCCGCCGGAGUGUUUCACCAAAGGGAUGUACAACGGGCGCAAGGCCACCGUCUGGUCUCUCAGCGUGCUGCGGUUUACCCUGGUAAACGGGAAGCUGCCCUACAAGGAUGAGUACAGAAUCCACAGAGGACACAGGCUGCACUUUAAAACAGGCAUUUCUAAAGGUAUGCACACAGGGAGAGAAUGGUACGGUUUUCACCUCGCAUGGGAUUUGAACCAACAACCUCUCAUUUACUGGUCCAACACACUUGACCACUGGUUUGCCGCCUAUCGCCCUACUCCAAUUGAAAGUCUGAGACCUUCACCGCCACAGCGGCCCGUGUGCAGGCAUCUUUAUGCAGGGGUGAAUUCGGCUGACUAUUCUAACGUCACAAAUUACAAAUUAGGAAACGUUCAUCGAUUUUCAGUACGCUAAUUUGCUUAAUUAGCAUUAAUCAACUACUUGGAUGUAUCUUUUGAACCAUUCGUGCCACAGACACAAAACCAAAUGUUUCAUACGUUUAAGCUGUCCCCACUGCAAAUUUGUGUUGCGAUCCCGUCCCCGUAAGCUGGUUUUCCUGUCUGUCUGUGUCUGUUUUGUGUGUUCCAGAGUGUGGCCCGUUCCGGUUGCAAGGCGGGAGGUCCAGGAUCACCUGUUCCUGGUUGGGAAUCACCACACCUGGUCCUGAUCGGCAUUACAACCCUACUUAAGCUGAGACCUGACAUCCAGUCCCUGCCAGAUCGUUAGUAACACUGCUACGCAUGCAGGAUCUCCGCCCUGGACUUCACUCCUGGCGGACUACCGGAACCGUCUACCCCCCGUGGAACACGCUACCGCUCCAAACCUCACGUUCUCACCAUUCUGCAUGUCUGCCAUUACCUACUUCAUCACAAGAUUGUGCUCAAUAAAUACCUGCUUUCU